This 449-nucleotide ribosomal RNA is filed under the name uncultured bacterium. RNAcentral describes it as "partial 16S ribosomal RNA". It matches the Rfam family "Bacterial small subunit ribosomal RNA", at positions 29 to 523 of the family's 1533-position model. The record is from RNAcentral.
AACGAACGCUGGCGGCAUGCCUAACACAUGCAAGUCGAACGAGAUCUUCGGGUCUAGUGGCGCACGGGUGCGUAACGCGUGGGAAUCUGCCCUUUGGUUCGGAAUAACAGUUGGAAACGACUGCUAAUACCGGAUGAUGACGAAAGUCCCAAGAUUUAUCGCCGGAGGAUGAGCCCGCGUAGGAUUAGCUAGUUGGUGUGGUAAAGGCGCACCAAAGCGACGAUCCUUAGCUGGUCUGAGAGGAUGAACAGCCACACUGGGACUGAGACACGGCCCAGGCUCCUACGGGAGGCAGCAGUGGGGAAUAUUGGACAAUGGGCGAAAGCCUGAUCCAGCAAUGCCGCGUGAGUGAUGAAGGCCUUAGGGUUGUAAAGCUCUUUUACCCGGGAUGAUAAUGACAGUACCGGGAGAAUAAGCUCCGGCUAACUCCGUGCCAGCAGCCGCGGUAA